RNAcentral lists this ribosomal RNA (301 nucleotides) under uncultured bacterium. RNAcentral describes it as "partial 16S ribosomal RNA". It matches the Rfam family "Bacterial small subunit ribosomal RNA", at positions 509 to 807 of the family's 1533-position model. The record is from RNAcentral.
CAGUCGCCACGGUAAUACGAAGGGGGCUAGCGUUGCUCGGAAUGACUGGGCGUAAAGGGCGCGUAGGCGGCGAUCAAAGUCAGGCGUGAAAUUCCUGGGCUCAACCUGGGGGCUGCGCUUGAUACUUGGUUGCUUGAGUGGGGAAGAGGGUCGUGGAAUUCCCAGUGUAGAGGUGAAAUUCGUAGAUAUUGGGAAGAACACCGGUGGCGAAGGCGGCGACCUGGUCCUUGACUGAUGCUGAGGCGCGAAAGCGUGGGGAGCAAACAGGAUUAGAUACCCGCGUAGUCCCUGUCUCUUAUAC